AUUGAACGCUGGCGGCAGGCCUAACACAUGCAAGUCGAGCGGAUGAAGGGAGCUUGCUCCUGGAUUCAGCGGCGGACGGGUGAGUAAUGCCUAGGAAUCUGCCUGGUAGUGGGGGAUAACGUCCGGAAACGGGCGCUAAUACCGCAUACGUCCAGAGGGAGAAAGUGGGGGAUCUUCGGACCUCACGCUAUCAGCUGAGCCUAGGUCGGAUUAGCUAGUUGGUGGGGUAAAGGCCUACCAAGGCGACGAUCCGUAACUGGUCUGAGAGGAUGAUCAGUCACACUGGAACUGAGACACGGUCCAGACUCCUACGGGAGGCAGCAGUGGGGAAUAUUGGACAAUGGGCGAAAGCCUGAUCCAGCCAUGCCGCGUGUGUGAAGAAGGUCUUCGGAUUGUAAAGCACUUUAAGUUGGGAGGAAGGGCAGUAAGUUAAUACCUUGCUGUUUUGACGUUACCAACAGAAUAAGCACCGGCUAACUUCGUG
This 484-nucleotide ribosomal RNA is filed under the name uncultured bacterium. RNAcentral's name for it is "partial 16S ribosomal RNA". It matches the Rfam family "Bacterial small subunit ribosomal RNA", at positions 30 to 507 of the family's 1533-position model. The record is from RNAcentral.